GUGGGGAAUAUUGGGCAAUGGGCGAAAGCCUGACCCAGCAACGCCGCGUGAAGGAAGAAGGUUUUCGGAUCGUAAACUUCUAUCCUUGGUGAAGAUAAUGACGGUAGCCAAGAAGGAAGCCCCGGCUAACUACGUGCCAGCAGCCGCGGUAAUACGUAUGGGGCAAGCGUUGUCCGGAAUGAUUGGGCGUAAAGGGCGCGUAGGGGGCCCGGUAAGUCUGAAGUGAAAGUCCUGCUUUUAAGGUGGGAAUUGCUUUGGAUACUGUCGGGCUUGAGUGCAGGAGAGGUAAGCGGAAUUCCCGGUGUAGCGGUGAAAUGCGUAGAGAUCGGGAGGAACACCAGUGGCGAAGGCGGCUUACUGGACUGUAACUGACGCUGAGGCGCGAAAGUGUGGGGAGCAAACAGGAUUAGAUACCCGUGUAGUCC
This 425-nucleotide ribosomal RNA is filed under the name uncultured bacterium. RNAcentral's name for it is "partial 16S ribosomal RNA". It matches the Rfam family "Bacterial small subunit ribosomal RNA", at positions 354 to 796 of the family's 1533-position model. The record is from RNAcentral.